AACGAACGCUGGCGGCAGGCUUAACACAUGCAAGUCGAGCGCCCCGCCAGUGGGGCGGCGGCCGGGUGAGUAACGCGUGGGGACGUACCUUUUGGUUCAGAACAACUCCGUGAAACUGGAGCGAAUACCGGAGAAGCCCUAACGUGGUAAGAUUUAUCGCCGAAGGAUCGGCCCGGGUCUUCUUAGAUCGUUGGUGGGGUAACUGCGCCUCAAGGGGACGAGCGGUAGCUGGUAUGAGAGGAUGAUCAGCCACACUGGGACUGAGAAACGGCCCAGACUACUACAGGAGGCGGCCGAGGCGAAUACAGGAAAAUGGGCGCAAGCAAGAAGGAGCCAUGCCGCGUGAGUGAUGAAGGCGUUAGAGUAAUAAAGCUCUUUUGUACGGGAAGAUAAUGACUGUACCGGAAGAAUAAGCCCCGGCUAACUUCGUG
RNAcentral lists this ribosomal RNA (431 nucleotides) under uncultured bacterium. Its description in RNAcentral is "partial 16S ribosomal RNA". It matches the Rfam family "Bacterial small subunit ribosomal RNA", at positions 29 to 507 of the family's 1533-position model. The record is from RNAcentral.